Molecule: ribosomal RNA, 239 nt
Filed under: uncultured bacterium
Lineage: Bacteria
Description: partial 16S ribosomal RNA
Rfam family: Bacterial small subunit ribosomal RNA
Source: RNAcentral
UUGGCGGACGGGUGAGUAACGCGUGGGUAACCUGCCUUGUACUGGGGGACAACAGUUGGAAACGACUGCUAAUACCGCAUAAGCGCACAGCUUCGCAUGAAGCAGUGUGAAAAACUCCGGUGGUACAAGGUGGACCCGCGUCUGAUUAGCUGGUUGGUGAGGUAACGGCCCACCAAGGCGACGAUCAGUAGCCGGCCUGAGAGGGUGAACGGCCACAUUAGGACUGAGACACGGCCCAA